CUAAGGCGGUAAAAUCUAGACCUGGAAUUAGAGGGUAGAAACGAGGAUUAGAUACCCUCUUAUUCUUCUAGCCAAGGUAGUAACUAGGUAUGUUCUUCAAACCUAAAGGAUUUGGCGGUGCUCUACCCCAUCAGAGGAACCUGCUGGCGAAAUUACGCGAUAAAUCUUGCCAGGGCGCUUGUAUACCGUCGUCUAGAUAAGAUUAGGAGAUUUUAUCACUCUUAUGGCAGAUCAAGGUGCAGCUUGCCCUGGGGUUACAAUCCAUAUGAAGUUGGAUUUGAAAGUAAGGCUUAUAAUGCCAGUGAAAAGGCAAUUGAGCAUGCACAUAUCGCCCGUCACUCUCA
RNAcentral lists this ribosomal RNA (344 nucleotides) under Ligia baudiniana. Its description in RNAcentral is "partial 12S ribosomal RNA". It matches the Rfam family "Bacterial small subunit ribosomal RNA", at positions 729 to 1405 of the family's 1533-position model. Lineage: Eukaryota; Metazoa; Arthropoda; Malacostraca; Isopoda; Ligiidae. The record is from RNAcentral.